UACGGAGGGUGCUAGCGUUGUUCGGAAUUACUGGGCGUAAAGAGCUUGUAGGCGGCUUGCUCAGUCCGAUGUGAAAGCCCCCGGCUCAACCGGGGAAGUGCAUUGGAUACUGGCGAGCUUGAGUAUGGGAGAGGAGAGCGGAAUUCCCGGUGUAGAGGUGAAAUUCGUAGAUAUCGGGAGGAACACCAGUGGCGAAGGCGGCUCUCUGGACCAAUACUGACGCUGAGAAGCGAAAGCGUGGGGAGCAAACAGG
Molecule: ribosomal RNA, 253 nt
Filed under: uncultured bacterium
Lineage: Bacteria
Description: partial 16S ribosomal RNA
Rfam family: Bacterial small subunit ribosomal RNA
Source: RNAcentral